CCUACGUGAGGCAGCAGUGAGGAAUAUUGGUCAAUGGGCUUACGCCUGAACCAGCCAAGUCGCGUGAGGGAAGACUGCCCUAUGGGUUGUAAACCUCUUUUGUCAGGGAGCAACGCCGGCUACGUGUAGCCGGACUGAGAGUACCUGAAGAAAACGCAUCGGCUAACUCCGUGCCAGCAGCCGCGGUAAUACGGAGGAUGCGAGCGUGAUCCGGAUUUAUUGGGUUUAAAGGGUGCGUAGGCGGAAUGCCAAGUCAGCGGUAAAAUCGCGGGGCUCAACCUCGCUCCGCCGUUGAAACUGGCGUUCUUGAGUGGGCGAGAAGUAUGCGGAAUGCGUGGUGUAGCGGUGAAAUGCAUAGAUAUCACGCAGAACUCCGAUUGCGAAGGCAGCAUACCGGCGCCCAACUGACGCUGAAGCACGAAAGCGUGGGUAUCGAACAGGAUUAGAUACCCCUGUAGUC
RNAcentral lists this ribosomal RNA (460 nucleotides) under uncultured bacterium. RNAcentral describes it as "partial 16S ribosomal RNA". It matches the Rfam family "Bacterial small subunit ribosomal RNA", at positions 338 to 795 of the family's 1533-position model. The record is from RNAcentral.